Molecule: ribosomal RNA, 253 nt
Filed under: uncultured bacterium
Lineage: Bacteria
Description: partial 16S ribosomal RNA
Rfam family: Bacterial small subunit ribosomal RNA
Source: RNAcentral
UACAGAGGGUGCAAACGUUGUUCGGAAUCACUGGGCAUAAAGCGCACGUAGGCUGCUUCGUAAGUGUCGGAUGAAAUCCCACGGCUCACCCGUGGAACGGUCCGGCAUACUGCGGAGCUAGAGGAUGGUAGAGGAGAGCGGAACUCUUGGUGGAGCGGUGAAAUGCGUAGAUAUCAAGAGGAACACCGGUGGCGAAGGCGGCGCUCUGGUCCAUGUCUGACGCUGAGGUGCGAAAGCCAGGGGAGCAAACGGG